This 1059-nucleotide long non-coding RNA is filed under the name Bos grunniens (domestic yak). RNAcentral describes it as "lncRNA (ENSBGRG00000006885.1)". The record is from RNAcentral. Lineage: Eukaryota; Metazoa; Chordata; Mammalia; Artiodactyla; Bovidae.
AUUUAUAAGAGGGAUCAAGUAAUGCCUGGAUGAAUUCAUGAACAUUUGAUCUAGAUCUUAAAUAACUGAUGGAAUUUUGCCAAAAGAGAGAGAACAAUUAAAGCAAAGAGAAUUAUAUAUGUAAAAACAUACAAAUGGAGAUAUGAGAAUAAUGCCAUUGGGGUGGCUGGAAGAGGGGCAGGGCAGAGGGGGUGGGGAUCAUAAUACGAGGCUAGAAAAACACUGGUGAGGGAGAUGAUUAUUGGGGAAGGACUGUACUGCCUAACUCAAGGGUGAGGAUUUACUUUUGUAGAUAAUGAGGAUCCACCAAGCCUAAAGCAGAGGCACGAUCAGAUCUAUGUUACUAGAAUAUUCCUCUGAGCUGCCAAGAUAACAAUGAGAAUGAUUGGAAGAGCUGAGGGAACAGAGGAAGAGAGGUGAAGCUAGGAUCUCAGAAUGUAUCUGAAGAGUUGAGAAUUUACCAAGAUCUUAAGACAUACAGGCUUUGGCUCCUAAUUAGAUUACUCCGCAAAUGUUAAUUCACUUUCUUUUGUCUCUUCUCCCUACCCGCCUCAAUCUUGUUUAAGCCCAGAGUAAGCAGUUGAGUUGGAGCUAAUCAUUGACCAGGAUUUUGCAGAACCAGGGUGGCCUGGCACAGAUGCACUGAUGAGGGAUGAACUAAAAGCAGCUACAAGUGGCUGCAUCAUGAAGGAUCAAGGGCAGGCUGCAGCAACGGGCCAACACAAGGACGUCAUCUCACCAAGGGCUGCGUUUGAGAACGUUGGAAGACCCAGUCCCAAACCUGCAGCCUACCUACCACAGGCCCCUCCUCUUUCCAAAUCAAACACAAGAGUCGGAGGGAAGAAAGGGAGAGAGCCUUUGUAACACCCGUGGGUGAGAGCAGAAAAUCACCAUGGUGCUCAGCGGCCUUGUCAAGGACAAAAGCAUUCAGCUCCCCUCUGUUUGGACAGCUGAGGCCGGGCCCCUUCUCUCUCUCCAGCACAUUUGCCAGGAGAGACCCAGGCUGAAUCCUAAUCCCAGGCAGUCAGAGGGGGCCUCUCAGGGAAGAUUUUCAACAGC